RNAcentral lists this non-coding RNA (25 nucleotides) under Mus musculus (house mouse). The record is from RNAcentral. Lineage: Eukaryota; Metazoa; Chordata; Mammalia; Rodentia; Muridae.
UGCUACCUGUUGGGACUGGAGAGCA